This 158-nucleotide small nuclear RNA is filed under the name Ornithorhynchus anatinus (platypus). RNAcentral's name for it is "U2 spliceosomal RNA (ENSOANG00000024536.2)". It matches the Rfam family "U2 spliceosomal RNA". Rfam says of the family: U2 is a small nuclear RNA (snRNA) component of the spliceosome (involved in pre-mRNA splicing). Complementary binding between U2 snRNA (in an area lying towards the 5' end but 3' to hairpin I) and the branchpoint sequence (BPS) of the intron results the bulging out of an unpaired adenosine, on the BPS, which initiates a nucleophilic attack at the intronic 5' splice site, thus starting the first of two transesterification reactions that mediate splicing. The record is from Rfam by way of RNAcentral. Lineage: Eukaryota; Metazoa; Chordata; Mammalia; Monotremata; Ornithorhynchidae.
AUGGCUUCUCCUCCCUUUGGCUAAGAUCGUGUAGUAUCUGUUCUUAUCAUUUAAUAUCUGAUACGUCCUCUCUCUGAGGACAAUAUACUCAAUAUACUCUAUCUGCUAAUGUUGGUGUUAAAACCAACAAAAAUAACUGUGGUUUUUGUUAAGCGCUU